GACAGAGGUGCCGAGCGUUAGGCGGAAUCACUGGGCUUAAAGCGUGUGUAGGCGGAUCGUUAAGUACCUUGUGAAAUCCCACGGCUUAACCGUGGAACUGCUGGGUAUACUGGCGAUCUUGAGCCACCUAGGGGCAACCGGAACAAAUGGUGGAGCGGUGAAAUGCGUAGAUAUCAGGAGGAACACCAAUGGCGAAGGCAGCACUCUGGGACGUGACUGACGCUGAGACGCGAAAGCGUGGGGAGCAAACAGG
RNAcentral lists this ribosomal RNA (253 nucleotides) under uncultured bacterium. Its description in RNAcentral is "partial 16S ribosomal RNA". It matches the Rfam family "Bacterial small subunit ribosomal RNA", at positions 524 to 776 of the family's 1533-position model. The record is from RNAcentral.